ACGGGGAGACAGCAGGCGCGAAACCUUUAACACUGCACGUCAGUGCGAUAUAGGGAUUCCGAGUGCGAAGGGCAUACAGUCCUCGCUUUUGUACACCGUAAGGAGGUGUACGAAUAAGAGCUGGGCAAGACCGGUGCCAACCGCCGCGGUAGACACCGGCAGCUCGAGUGAUGGCCGAUAUUAUUGGACCUAAAGCGUCCGUAGCUGGCCGGACAGGUCCGUUGGGAAAUCCACUCGCUCAACGAGUGGGCGUCCAGCGGAAACCGUCUGGCUUGGGRCCGGAAGACCCGAGGGGUACGUCUGGGGUAGGAGUGAAAUCCUGUAAUCCCGGACGGACCACCGGUGGCGAAAGCGCCUCGGGAGGACGGAUCCGACAGUGAGGGACGAAAGCUAGGGUCUCGAACCGGAUUAGAUACCCGGGUAGUCCUAGCUGUAAACGAUGCCCGCUAGGUGUGAGCAGUAGGCUACGAGCCUACGCUGUGCCGUAGGGAAGCCGUGAAGCGGGCCGCCUGGGAAGUACGUCUGGCAAGGAUGAAACUU
RNAcentral lists this ribosomal RNA (540 nucleotides) under uncultured archaeon. RNAcentral's name for it is "bacterial SSU rRNA". It matches the Rfam family "Archaeal small subunit ribosomal RNA", at positions 325 to 857 of the family's 1478-position model. The record is from RNAcentral.